UACGGAGGGUGCGAGCGUUGUCCGGAAUCAUUGGGCGUAAAGGGCGCGUAGGUGGCCCGCUCAGCGUGCGGUGAAAAGCUCGGGGCUCAACCCCGAGUCGGCCGUGCGAACUGGUGGGCUGGAGCACUGUAGAGGCAGGCGGAAUUCCGGGUGUAGCGGUGGAAUGCGUAGAGAUCCGGAAGAACACCGGUGGCGAAGGCGGCCUGCUGGGCAGUUGCUGACACUGAGGCGCGACAGCGUGGGGAGCAAACAGG
Molecule: ribosomal RNA, 254 nt
Filed under: uncultured bacterium
Lineage: Bacteria
Description: partial 16S ribosomal RNA
Rfam family: Bacterial small subunit ribosomal RNA
Source: RNAcentral